This 460-nucleotide ribosomal RNA is filed under the name uncultured bacterium. RNAcentral describes it as "partial 16S ribosomal RNA". It matches the Rfam family "Bacterial small subunit ribosomal RNA", at positions 338 to 795 of the family's 1533-position model. The record is from RNAcentral.
CCUACGGGCGGCUGCAGUGAGGAAUAUUGGUCAAUGGACGAGAGUCUGAACCAGCCAAGUAGCGUGAAGGAUGACUGCUCUAUGGGUUGUAAACUUCUUUUAUAUGGGAAUAAAAUGUUCCACGUGUGGGAUUUUGUAUGUCUCAUUUGAAUAAGGAUCGGCUAACUCCGUGCCAGCAGCCGCGGUAAUACGGAGGAUCCGAGCGUUAUCCGGAUUUAUUGGGUUUAAAGGGAGCGUAGAUGGAUUGUUAAGUCAGUUGUGAAAGUUUGCGGCUCAACCGUAAAAUUGCAGUUGAAACUGGCAGUCUGGAGUACAGGAGAGGUGAGCGGAAUGCGUGGUGUAGCGGUGAAAUGCUUAGAUAUCACGAAGAACGCCGAUUGCGAAGGCAGUUCACUGGACUGCAACUGACACUGAGGCUCGAAAGUGUGGGUAGCAAACAGGAUUAGAUACCCGGGUAGUC